AGAUGUGAGGGUGAUCUGGCUGCGACACCUGUCACCCCAUGGAUCAUCAGGGUUGAUUCGGCUGAUCCGGCUGGCUAGGUGGGUAUCCCCUUCCUCCCUCUCUCUCCAAGUACGUCCCUCCCAAAGCUGCGCACUCAAAGAGGAUGACCAUCCCCGAUGGAGGAGGACCCAGCUUUGGUCAAGGAUGUAUGAGUAGCCAUGCUCCCCUGCUAGAACCUCCAAACAAGCUCUCAAGAAUAAGCUAUGUUCUGUCAUAAGGUUUUUCUUUUUUUCUAGCAGCU
This 281-nucleotide small nuclear RNA is filed under the name Homo sapiens (human). Its description in RNAcentral is "7SK RNA". It matches the Rfam family "7SK RNA". From Rfam's summary of the family: 7SK was discovered as an abundant small nuclear RNA in the mid-70s but a possible function has only recently been suggested. Two independent studies have found that 7SK RNA binds the CDK9/cyclin T complex (known as elongation factor P-TEFb). P-TEFb activates transcription by phosphorylating the C-terminal domain of RNA polymerase II. Lineage: Eukaryota; Metazoa; Chordata; Mammalia; Primates; Hominidae. The record is from Rfam by way of RNAcentral.